RNAcentral lists this ribosomal RNA (461 nucleotides) under uncultured bacterium. RNAcentral's name for it is "partial 16S ribosomal RNA". It matches the Rfam family "Bacterial small subunit ribosomal RNA", at positions 338 to 795 of the family's 1533-position model. The record is from RNAcentral.
CCUACGGGGGGCAGCAGUGAGGAAUAUUGGUCAAUGGACGAGAGUCUGAACCAGCCAAGUAGCGUGAAGGAUGACUGCCCUAUGGGUUGUAAACUUCUUUUAUAUGGGAAUAAAAUGUGCCACGUGUGGGAUUUUGUAUGUACCAUAUUAAUAAGGAUCGGCUAACUCCGUGCCAGCGGCCGCGGUAAUACGGAGGAUCCGAGCGUUAUCCGGCUUUAUUGGGUUUAAAGGGAGCGUAGGUGGAUUGUUAAGUCAGUUGUGAAAGUUUGCGGCUCAACCGUAAAAUUGCAGUUGAAACUGGGAGUCUUGAGUACAGUAGAGGUGGGCGGAAUUCGUGGGGUUGCGGUGAAAUGCUUAGAUAUCACGAAGAACUCCGGUUGCGAAGGCAGCUCAAUGGACUGGAACUGACACUGAGGCUCGAAAGUGUGGGUAUCAAACAGGAUUAGAUACCCCGAGUAGUC